CAGGAAUCUAGGAAACUUCACCUGCACUGUCCAGUAUCCAGGACAAAUUACUGCUGCACAAAAUACCACCAUGACUAGUGUUAAGUGGAUUGACUUUUCCGAACUGGUCCCAGGUGCCAUGUCUCCCUGUUCGUCGCCGCCAGCUCCCCCUGCUGCCCAGUGUUCGCUACAGCCCCCCGAGCUCGCAGAGGACUGGCCGCCGACAAGGACUGGCCUCCCCGUCCCGCAGGAGAUUAAGUUGCUGAGAUAAAGUUGGCAACAAAGCGUUUGUAAUGGAACUAAAGUGUACUGUCGUACAAAGAUUAU
Molecule: long non-coding RNA, 306 nt
Organism: Esox lucius (northern pike)
Lineage: Eukaryota; Metazoa; Chordata; Actinopteri; Esociformes; Esocidae
Exons: 3
Source: RefSeq, a predicted model, not a curated record